GGGCGCGUGGCCUAGCCCGGAUAUGGCGGCAGCCUCCUAUUCUUUUCAGGAGAAAGCUGUAGGUCGGGGGUUCAAUUCCCCCCGCGCCCG
This 90-nucleotide transfer RNA is filed under the name groundwater metagenome. RNAcentral's name for it is "tRNA-Arg". It matches the Rfam family "tRNA". Rfam says of the family: Transfer RNA (tRNA) molecules are approximately 80 nucleotides in length. The record is from RNAcentral.